This 873-nucleotide ribosomal RNA is filed under the name uncultured fungus. RNAcentral's name for it is "eukaryotic LSU rRNA". It matches the Rfam family "Eukaryotic large subunit ribosomal RNA", at positions 24 to 664 of the family's 3401-position model. The record is from RNAcentral. Lineage: Eukaryota; Fungi.
CCCGCUGAACUUAAGCAUAUCAUUAAGCGGAGGAAGAGAAACCAACAGGGAUUCCCCUAGUAGCGGCGAGCGAACCGGGAUGAGCCCAAGCCAUAAUCUGGGUGACCGCGCGUCACUCCGAAUUGUAGUCUCAAGGCAGGGAGUUACCGAAGUCUUCUCUCAGGUUCAAAUCUCCUGGAACGGAGUGCCGUGGAGGGUGAGAGCCCCGUGCGACGACUUGAGUGAAGGAGGCUUCGAUCGUCAUCUCUCUGCUCCGGAGUCGGACUGCUCGGGAAUGCAGUCCUAAUCAGGUGGUGGACCCCACCUAAGGCUUGAACACUAACGGGAGACCGAUAGCGGACAAGUACCGUGAGGGAAAGAUGAAAAGAACCCCGGGAGGGGAGUCAAAAGUGCCUGAAAUCGUUGGGAGGGAAGCGCUCUGGGACGACGUUUACCACGCCUUUUUAUGCCGUCCGAUAUAGCAUCAGUACACUCUGUGGAGGUCAGGAGGGUCGUUCCUUCUUCACGGAAGGCACUGGCUCCUUGCACAUCAUAGAACUGGUGUGUUGAUGCUGUGUCUAUCCAGCGUAAAAAGGUCGUCGGUGUCAGCUUUUCCGGUGACAGGAAGACUUGUAGGAGGGUUUUGAAGUGGGCAACCAUAUUUGAAAUGCCUAUAGAUCUGGUGUCGUCGGAGAGGCUGAGGAAACCACGGGGACUAUGCGCCUACUAACCUCGCAAGAGGCAGCGGGCAGAGUAACUUUGUUUCGGUUGUGAGACAUUCUUUUGGGCCGGCAACCGGUGCUUAGGGAUGGGCUUGUGAUCUUGAAUGAACGUUACUCUUGCAUAAUCGUGACACCGGCGUUGCGGCCCUGAGCGACCCGUCUUGAAACACGG